AUGGCCAAAAGUUACGACGUGAAGCCCAGCGGCGAUGCCACGGUCACGACAGUGCCGCAUCAACGUAUGCACGAGGCGGAGAAUAACAAGCCCACCGAGAAUAGCAAACCCACCGAGAACACUUCCUUGUCUCCAAACAACAAUCAAACCUACUUUGCCGAUGAGAGGGUGCAAGUGCCAGAGACAGCAAGUACGAGCUUCAGUUUCAGGAAAUUAUGGGCCUUCACCGGUCCUGGUUUCUUGAUGUCCAUAGCUUAUCUGGAUCCUGGGAACAUCGAGUCGGAUCUACAGUCCGGAGUGGUGGCAAGAUACAAGUUAUUAUGGGUACUACUAAGCGCUACUAUCCUAGGUCUCGUUAUGCAAAGGCUCAGCGCCCGCCUCGGCGUAGUGACCGGUCUACAUUUAGCGGAGAUGUGUUACAGACAAUACAAAAAAAUACCUAGACUUAUUUUAUGGGUAAUGAUCGAAAUAGCAAUUAUUGGUAGCGAUAUGCAAGAAGUAAUAGGAACGGCUAUUGCCCUUUACCUCUUAUCUAAUAAAGCAAUUCCUAUAUGGGGUGGUGUACUUAUCACUGUAGUUGACACGUUCACAUUUUUAUUCCUAGACAAAUACGGUUUGAGGAAACUGGAGCUCUUCUUUGGCUUGCUCAUAUCGAUCAUGGCUUUUACCUUCGGUUAUGAGUACGUCGUUUCCGAUCCUCCACAAAUAGAAGUUAUAAGGGGUAUGUUCAUUCCAUGGUACAGUGGGAUGAAUUACGAUAACAAAGUGCUGCUGCAAGCUGUAGGAAUUGUCGGUGCGGUUAUUAUGCCGCAUAAUUUGUAUCUUCAUAGUGCCUUAGUCAAAUCAAGAGACAUCGAUCGAAGACAGCCGGCGAAAGUGAAAGAUGCCAAUAUGUAUUACUUCAUCGAAGCCUCCAUUGCGUUGUUCGUUUCAUUCAUCAUCAAUGUAUUUGUCGUGGCUGUAUUUGCUCACGGUCUCUUCCAGAAGACAAACAACGAUGUUUACGAGAUUUGCGCGGAGAAUAAUUACACCCUUGGCAUGGAAACCUUCGCGAAGAACAACGAGACGUUCAACGCAGAUCUGUACAAGGGAGGUAUCUUCCUUGGCUGCUCUUUCGGCGCCGCUGCGAUGUACAUAUGGGCCGUGGGAAUUUUAGCUGCCGGCCAAUCGUCCACGAUGACGGGCACCUACGCCGGCCAGUUCGCUAUGGAAGGCUUUCUGAAUCUGCAGUGGGCCCGCUGGAAACGAGUCCUCUUCACUCGGACGAUCGCCAUAGUUCCUACAUUCCUGGUGGCGUUCUUCGCCGACAUGAACAACUUGAGCAGCAUGAACGACAUCCUGAACGCCAUAAUGAGCCUACAGUUACCAUUCGCCACCUUGCCGACAAUCGCGUUCACAAGCAGUGUUCAGAUCAUGGGUGAUUUCCGUAACGGAAUAAUGAACAAGAUCGUGGCGACUGCUCUGUCGGUCCUAGUGAUAACGAUAAAUAUAUAUUUCGUGAUACAAACCGUCCAAGAGGACCUGCCGCAUCAUUGGGCCAUAUUCUUAGGCAUGUCCGUGUACGCAAUCCUCUAUCUCAUCUUCUGCGCUUACCUGGCUGUCCAUAUGGCUGUGAGCAUGGGUGCAACUUCCCUUGGCAAUCAUUGGUUUGUCAGCAAAUACAUCGGUGCGCCUGUGGACACUACGCUCGGUAUAUCAAAUCCCGCCGUUUAUGCCAGUUUCCACAAUACGUCGGAAACGUCGUUAAACGCUUAGUCGGAGUAAUGCAAUUGAAUGUGCGAGACAAUAUGCGGCCUUUGUAUUCAACAAACAAUGUGAAAAACAAUGUCGCGUUGGAAAGGUGCUUAUUACAUCUCGUGACGUCAGCAUGAUGCCCUAUGAACAAAUCCAGCAUUUAGCAUUCAAGAAAACUUGAGUGGCAGUUUUACAUCUGUGGUACCAGAAUACUAACGUGUCACACUGACAAGUAUAUCGCCAAUGGAAUAUGUAAGUGAUAACGCGAGUGCCAUGAUAAGCAAGACUGCUCUUGCUGAUACUUGUACGAGAGGUAAUCUUUAAUGCCUUGCGGCAGGAAUGCCUUGCGUUGCUUACAGUCCAACGUUAAAUUCACAUGUGUUUUAAACAGAACAGAACAGAAGUUUUAUAAAUACGAAGAGAAUAGAACAUAUUAGAUGCAUUAAUAAAUAUAAUGAAAUGAAAAAUAAAGACAAUAUUAUACAAUGAUAUAUUUAAUAAAUUCUUCAUAUAUAUAUGUACGUUUCUUACACAUUAUGUAUUAUAAGAUAGUUUUACUUUGUACAAAUAAGACGUAGAUAAGUAUUUUAUUAACUUUUAGAUGUAGAUGAUCCAACUGUAAAAUGAAAUGUAAAAUAAUGUAAAUACUAUUUCCAACGCAAUAAUUUUUAUUGAUUUACGCAUAUAAAAUAGAUAGUCUGAUCUUAUGAUAGCAAAUACGGUAAAAUAACGUCGUCGAUUACAUAUCUCUAUUUAUAUCGUUGAAAAUAUUAAAAAAACUGCUC
This 2519-nucleotide unclassified non-coding RNA is filed under the name Ooceraea biroi (clonal raider ant). RNAcentral describes it as "protein Malvolio, transcript variant X1". Lineage: Eukaryota; Metazoa; Arthropoda; Insecta; Hymenoptera; Formicidae. The record is from RNAcentral.